GCUGGGAUAGCUCCGUCAGUAGAGCAUGAGACUCUUAAUCUUAGGUCGUGGGUUCGAGCCCCACAUUGGGCCAACA
RNAcentral lists this transfer RNA (76 nucleotides) under Podarcis lilfordi (Lilford's wall lizard). RNAcentral describes it as "tRNA.Lys". The stretch from base 8 to 64 matches the Rfam family "tRNA", at positions 8 to 63 of the family's 71-position model. Rfam says of the family: Transfer RNA (tRNA) molecules are approximately 80 nucleotides in length. Their secondary structure includes four short double-helical elements and three loops (D, anti-codon, and T loops). The record is from RNAcentral. Lineage: Eukaryota; Metazoa; Chordata; Lepidosauria; Squamata; Lacertidae.